GCUUUAGCCGCCUGUUUGCCUCUCGCUUGCUUCUAUGGUUAGCUCGCGGUUUUCGUCGAUGACUCCCCUGCACCACCUACUUGUCAUCUAAUGCGGAGCUGGUGGACGCGCUGGCUUUUAUAGGGAGGAGGGAAAAAGGUCGCCCGGUAAGGUACAGCUGGAGGAGCCAUUACCAGUCAAUGGAUGCUAGGCGACUUCCUGUAACACCAGCGGAACAACCACGUUCCCAAUACGGCUCCCAUUUGCUCAAGGCCCAUGUUGGCAUAUUGGGAAUUGGAGCUGGACUGCAGAUGGAGCGGAGAAGAUGGCGAAGCAUCCGCGACACGAGAAGGAUACCUUAAACUAUUAAUUAACAUAAAUAAAAACAUGCUUUAAAAACUUCA
This is a long non-coding RNA of Drosophila subpulchrella, 383 nucleotides long. RefSeq lists it as uncharacterized. The transcript is spliced from 2 exons. The record is from RefSeq and is a predicted model, not a curated record. NCBI's taxonomy places the organism in Eukaryota, Metazoa, Arthropoda, Insecta, Diptera, Drosophilidae.